This 230-nucleotide ribosomal RNA is filed under the name uncultured bacterium. RNAcentral describes it as "partial 16S ribosomal RNA". It matches the Rfam family "Bacterial small subunit ribosomal RNA", at positions 15 to 236 of the family's 1533-position model. The record is from RNAcentral.
GAUCAUGGCUCAGGAUGAACGCUAGCGACAGGCUUAACACAUGCAAGUCGAGGGGCAGCAUGGUCAGUAGCAAUACCGACCGAUGGCGACCGGCGCACGGGUGAGUAACGCGUAUCCAACCUGCCCAUCACUUGGGAAUAACCUUGCGAAAGUAAGACUAAUACCCAAUGAUAUCCCACGAAGGCAUCCGAAUGGGAUUAAAGAUUUAUCGGUGAUGGAUGGGGAUGCGU